This 614-nucleotide long non-coding RNA is filed under the name Malus domestica (apple). Its description in RNAcentral is "long non-coding RNA (MDOM_LNC002167)". The record is from RNAcentral. Lineage: Eukaryota; Viridiplantae; Streptophyta; Magnoliopsida; Rosales; Rosaceae.
UCCGUUGUAGAAAAAUGGGAGGAUUCGAACGAAUCUUGUCAUAAUAAGGCUUAGUAAUAAGCUUUCCCAUAGAACAUGUUUGACAUGCAAUUUCAUGGAUCAAACCUAAGCUUCGGGUUAGUGGAUGCUCGUGUGAAGUUUUGAGUAUACGGUGCAUCGCUAUUCGUCCAGGAUGUCCCAAAUGAUCAUGUCAAAGUGUAAUUUCGUGCGCGGUCCCUGUGGUAGGGCCGGCCACAUAGUGGCAUUCUAUGGGGCGUAUGGUCGUAGUAUAUAGACCACUCGGGUUACGCUCCAUCUUCUCUAGAAUACGCUUCUGGCCAUAUUCGUAGGAAGUUACGCACAAAAAUUCAACUCUGUUUUCUACGUGGGUUUCAGCAUGGUAUGUUUAAGUGAAAACUUCAGGUUUUCAAACAAGGCAUGUUUAUAAGAAACUUCGGGUUUCGAAGUAAUUAUGAACUUCAAGUUCAUAUAUUCCUGCAGGCAAACACAAAUAUAUAUGCAAACAAAUAUGCAACAAAUAUAUGCAAAAAUAUUGUAUAAUGAUAAUUGAAUGAAUGUUAUUUUGGUCCUCAGGGCCAAAUUAAAGUGUGGGUGAAAAUAUAAAAACCCAUAUU